RNAcentral lists this transfer RNA (71 nucleotides) under Loxodonta africana (African savanna elephant). It matches the Rfam family "tRNA". From Rfam's summary of the family: Transfer RNA (tRNA) molecules are approximately 80 nucleotides in length. Their secondary structure includes four short double-helical elements and three loops (D, anti-codon, and T loops). Further hydrogen bonds mediate the characteristic L-shaped molecular structure. tRNAs have two regions of fundamental functional importance: the anti-codon, which is responsible for specific mRNA codon recognition, and the 3' end, to which the tRNAs corresponding amino acid is attached (by aminoacyl-tRNA synthetases). tRNAs cope with the degeneracy of the genetic code in two manners: having more than one tRNA (with a specific anti-codon) for a particular amino acid; and 'wobble' base-pairing, i.e. permitting non-standard base-pairing at the 3rd anti-codon position. The record is from Rfam by way of RNAcentral. Lineage: Eukaryota; Metazoa; Chordata; Mammalia; Proboscidea; Elephantidae.
GCGUUGGUGGUUCAGUGGUAGAAUUCUUGCCUUCCAUGCAGGAGACCUGGGUUUGAUUCUCGGCCAAUACA